This 775-nucleotide ribosomal RNA is filed under the name Brevibacterium sp. Its description in RNAcentral is "bacterial SSU rRNA". It matches the Rfam family "Bacterial small subunit ribosomal RNA", at positions 549 to 1320 of the family's 1533-position model. Lineage: Bacteria; Bacillati; Actinomycetota; Actinomycetes; Micrococcales; Brevibacteriaceae. The record is from RNAcentral.
AAUUAUUGGGCGUAAAGAGCUCGUAGGUGGUUGGUCACGUCUGCUGUGGAAACGCAACGCUUAACGUUGCGCGUGCAGUGGGUACGGGCUGACUAGAGUGCAGUAGGGGAGUCUGGAAUUCCUGGUGUAGCGGUGAAAUGCGCAGAUAUCAGGAGGAACACCGGUGGCGAAGGCGGGACUCUGGGCUGUAACUGACACUGAGGAGCGAAAGCAUGGGGAGCGAACAGGAUUAGAUACCCUGGUAGUCCAUGCCGUAAACGUUGGGCACUAGGUGUGGGGGACAUUCCACGUUCUCCGCGCCGUAGCUAACGCAUUAAGUGCCCCGCCUGGGGAGUACGGUCGCAAGGCUAAAACUCAAAGGAAUUGACGGGGGCCCGCACAAGCGGCGGAGCAUGCGGAUUAAUUCGAUGCAACGCGAAGAACCUUACCAAGGCUUGACAUACACCAGACCGGGCUGGAAACAGUCCUUCCCCUUUGGGGUUGGUGUACAGGUGGUGCAUGGUUGUCGUCAGCUCGUGUCGUGAGAUGUUGGGUUAAGUCCCGCAACGAGCGCAACCCUCGUUCUAUGUUGCCAGCACGUAAUGGUGGGAACUCAUAGGAGACUGCCGGGGUCAACUCGGAGGAAGGUGGGGAUGACGUCAAAUCAUCAUGCCCUUUAUGUCUUGGGCUUCACGCAUGCUACAAUGGCUGGUACAGAGAGAUGCGAGACCGUGAGGUUUUAGCGAAUCCCUUAAAGCCAGUCUCAGUUCGGAUCGUAGUCUGCAAUUCGACUACG